AGGAGAGAACAAAGCCGGGGAUACCAAGGAAGAGUGCAGACAUUUGAAAGGAAGUCUGAAUUCUAGAGACGCUGCCAUGUACAGCGGCAGCUGAGAUUGCCUUUUGGAAACUUUCAAGGACAGUAGACAACUUUCCAACUAAAAUAGCUUGAUAACUUGAUGUAAAUGGGACAACUGUGAAAUGGAUGAGUUAAGUCAUUUUUGAGAUGUCAACUAAACGUAAAGAUGGAGCAAGAGAACGGUACGGCUCACUUAAACUUAUUUUGACGAAGUAUUAUUUUUCUUGUACUCAGAGGGCAGCUGUGGAAGCAAUUCAUUAAAAUGAUUCAACCUGAAA
This is a long non-coding RNA of Suricata suricatta (meerkat), 337 nucleotides long. RefSeq lists it as uncharacterized. NCBI's taxonomy places the organism in Eukaryota, Metazoa, Chordata, Mammalia, Carnivora, Herpestidae. The record is from RefSeq and is a predicted model, not a curated record. The transcript is spliced from 2 exons.